UACGUAGGUGUCGAGCGUUGUCCGGAUUUAUUGGGCGUAAAGCGCCCGCAGGCGGCUUGGCAAGUUCGAGGUGAAAUCUCCCGGCUCAACUGGGAGGGUGCCUCGGAAACUGCCAGGCUUGAGGCAGGGAGAGGGAUGUGGAAUUCCCGGUGUAGUGGUGAAAUGCGUAGAUAUCGGGAGGAACACCAGUGGCGAAGGCGGCAUCCCGCUGGCCCUG
RNAcentral lists this ribosomal RNA (217 nucleotides) under uncultured bacterium. RNAcentral's name for it is "partial 16S ribosomal RNA". It matches the Rfam family "Bacterial small subunit ribosomal RNA", at positions 524 to 737 of the family's 1533-position model. The record is from RNAcentral.